Molecule: RNase P RNA, 223 nt
Filed under: Desulfobacteraceae bacterium
Lineage: Bacteria; Pseudomonadati; Thermodesulfobacteriota; Desulfobacteria; Desulfobacterales; Desulfobacteraceae
Description: partial RNase P RNA component class A
Rfam family: Bacterial RNase P class A
About the family: Ribonuclease P (RNase P) is a ubiquitous endoribonuclease, found in archaea, bacteria and eukarya as well as chloroplasts and mitochondria. Its best characterised activity is the generation of mature 5'-ends of tRNAs by cleaving the 5'-leader elements of precursor-tRNAs.
Source: RNAcentral
AGAGUAGGACGAAUGAUCGCUGCCUUGCCCUUUUGGCAAGGGAGAGGAAAGUCCGGGCUCCACAGGACAUGGUGCUGGGUAACGCCCAGUCCCGGUAACGGGAAGGAAAGUGCCACAGAAAGAAAACCGCCCCCGCCGACUGCAUGUCGGCGGGAGUAAGGGUGAAAUGAUGAGGUAAGAGCUCACCAGUCCCGCCGGUGACGACGGGAGCUAGGUAAACCCC